GAUGAACGCUGGCGGCGUGCUUAACACAUGCAAGUCGAACGGAAAGGCCCCAGCUUGCUGUGGUGCUCGAGUGGCGAACGGGUGAGUAACACGUGAGUAACCUGCCCUUGACUUUGGGAUAACUUCAGGAAACUGGGGCUAAUACCGGAUAGGAGCUCCUGCUGCAUGGUGGGGGUUGGAAAGUUUCGGCGGUUGGGGAUGGACUCGCGGCUUAUCAGCUUGUUGGUGGGGUAGUGGCUUACCAAGGCUUUGACGGGUAGCCGGCCUGAGAGGGUGACCGGCCACAUUGGGACUGAGAUACGGCCCAGACUCCUACGGGAGGCAGCAGUGGGGAAUAUUGCACAAUGGGCGGAAGCCUGAUGCAGCAACGCCGCGUGCGGGAUGACGGCCUUCGGGUUGUAAACCGCUUUCGCCUGUGACGAAGCGUGAGUGACGGUAAUGGGUAAAGAAGCACCGGCUAACUACGUG
Molecule: ribosomal RNA, 468 nt
Filed under: uncultured bacterium
Lineage: Bacteria
Description: partial 16S ribosomal RNA
Rfam family: Bacterial small subunit ribosomal RNA
Source: RNAcentral